RNAcentral lists this ribosomal RNA (440 nucleotides) under uncultured bacterium. RNAcentral describes it as "partial 16S ribosomal RNA". It matches the Rfam family "Bacterial small subunit ribosomal RNA", at positions 338 to 795 of the family's 1533-position model. The record is from RNAcentral.
CCUACGGGAGGCAGCAGUGGGGAAUAUUGCACAAUGGGGGAAACCCUGAUGUAGCGACGCCGCGUGAGUGAAGAAGUCCUUCGUUAUGUAAAGCUCUAUCGGCAGGGAAGAAAAUGACGGUACCUGAGUACGCAGCCCCGGCUAACUCCUGUCCAACCGCCGCGGUCUUACGUAGUGGGCACGCGUGAUCCGGAUUGACUGGGGGUAACGGGAGCGUAGACGGCAGUGUAAGUCAGGAGUGAAAGGCGGGGGCGCAACCCCAGGACUGCUAUGGAAACUUUAAGGCUGGAGUGCAGGAGAGGUAAGUAGAAUUCCUAGUGUAGCGGUGAAAUGCGUAGAUAUUAGGAGGAACACCAGUGGCGAAGGCGGCGUACUGGAUGGUAACUGACGCUGAGGUGCGAAAGCGUGGGGAGCAAACAGGAUUAGAUACCCGAGUAGUC